RNAcentral lists this ribosomal RNA (279 nucleotides) under Clostridioides difficile. RNAcentral describes it as "partial 16S ribosomal RNA". It matches the Rfam family "Bacterial small subunit ribosomal RNA", at positions 1264 to 1533 of the family's 1533-position model. The record is from RNAcentral. Lineage: Bacteria; Bacillati; Bacillota; Clostridia; Peptostreptococcales; Peptostreptococcaceae.
GGAGCUAAUCCCUUAAAGCUACUCUCAGUUCGGAUUGUAGGCUGAAACUCGCCUACAUGAAGCUGGAGUUACUAGUAAUCGCAGAUCAGAAUGCUGCGGUGAAUGCGUUCCCGGGUCUUGUACACACCGCCCGUCACACCACGGGAGUUGGAGACGCCCGAAGCCGAUUAUCUAACCUUUUGGAAGAAGUCGUCGAAGGUGGAAUUAAUAACUGGGGUGAAGUCGUAACAAGGUAGCCGUAUCGGAAGGUGCGGCUGGAUCACCUCCUUUCUAAGGAGA